ACAAGACACCAAAUAAAAAGCAUUCAGCACAGUGCUUGGCACAAGGGACUCACCCCCUCAAUAUUAACAAGGUUUAUUAUCAGCUUCAUUUUAGGACCAAAAAAACCUCCCAACCCACCCCCCAAACAUAGUGAUCUUAUCUGUCUCUUGAAGGGUAAGCCAGUGAAGGAAGCUGAAGCCAGGAGAAAGGGUAUCUUACUGGUGGAACCUGAAUUAGGAUCAAGGUCUUCUGCCUUUUCCCUGGAGCCUGGUGCUUCCCAUAGUAGGGGGGUGGUUCUCCAUUAUACAAAGGCGGGUGUGCCCCUAAGACUUUUGCCUGGUUUUCCUGGGUAUCACAUAGCUCCUAGGGGUCAUAUGAACUUUUCCAUUUGGCCUCCAUACCUUCUCCAUCCCUAUUAUUAUAUAUGGGGUAUGAUUUUUAUAUAUUUAAGAAUGAAUUUUUAUAUAUUUAAGAACCUCGAUUGCCCUGGUUCUUUUGGUGGCAAAAAUUUCUGCACUUUUGAAGGUAUUAAAUGGAAUUAAAC
RNAcentral lists this long non-coding RNA (524 nucleotides) under Mustela putorius furo (domestic ferret). RNAcentral describes it as "lncRNA (ENSMPUG00000028636.1)". The record is from RNAcentral. Lineage: Eukaryota; Metazoa; Chordata; Mammalia; Carnivora; Mustelidae.